Molecule: long non-coding RNA, 1960 nt
Filed under: Lotus japonicus
Lineage: Eukaryota; Viridiplantae; Streptophyta; Magnoliopsida; Fabales; Fabaceae
Description: long non-coding RNA (LJAP_LNC000657)
Source: RNAcentral
GAAUGAACUUCAAGAUCAAACUUUUCUUUGGACAACAAAUUAGAUUUAACAUCCUCAAAGGAUAAGGUAUCAUUGUUUCCAUACAACAUGAUUUCCUUGAAGUGUUUGUAGGUAGAAGGUAAAGAGACAACCAACAAAACAGCUUUAUCUUCAUCAUCAAUUUUAAUAUCAAUAUUUUCCAGAUCCAAAAUUAUAGAGUUAAACUCAUCAAGAUGAGAUUGAAUAGGAGUACCUUCAACCAUACGAAUGGUGUAUAAGCGUUCUUUGAGACGAAGCUUGUUUGCGAGGCUCUUUGUCAUAUAUAAGGCUUCUAACUUCAGCCAUAAUGCGGCGGCGGGCGCUUCACUGGCCACCCCCCGGAGAACCCCUUUUGAUAAGCAAAGAUGGAUUGUUGAAAGCGCCUUGUCAUCCAACUCGUCCCAUUGAUCGUCAGUCAUGGAAGCUGGCUUCUUCGCCUUGCCAUCUAAGGUUUUCUUUAAUCCGUCCUGAGUAAGAACCGCUUUCAUUUGGACUCCCCAAAUACAAAAGCUAAUCUUGCCAUCAAACUUCUCGAUGUCAAAUUUAGGAGACAUUUUGAAAUUCUCAAUAAGAGCUCUGAUACCACUUGUUAGGGUAUCAGCGCAAUGCGGAAGCACAGGAUCGAGAUAAUUGAGAAUUAAAGAGAAGUAAAAGUAAAGUGGCAAGAAAAAGAACACACAAGAUUUACGUGGAAAAACCCUCCCAAUGUGAGAGGUAAAAAACCACGAGCGAUCACGAGCAAAGUUCAACUAUAUAAAAGGGAGAGUACAACAAAUCCUCUUAUAGAAAAUGAGGAUAAAGAGAAAUAUUUGCACUAAACUACUCUCUCAAAUGGAACAAGAAUCCUCACCAAGAAGACUCACUACAAUUCACUCAUAUGUGUAUUACAAUUGCUUCAAAGUGUGUGUUGCAAUUCCUUCCAUUCCCGUUUGCAUCAUAUUUAUAGCCUCCGAUCAAGUACUUAGGAGUGAAGAUAUUAAGCAAUUGAAGGACAUGUGUUACAUGCAAAUAGCAUGAGCUGGAAGACUAUAAUUAAGUCACGAAAACAAAGCAUGAGGUGCAAUGUUAGUAACAUGCAAAUCAAGUAGGAGGUGUAAUGCUAUGAAGAAAAGUCUUGCUUUGUCAUGCUUGUUAUGUUGAUGGUGAAUCAUGUAGAUUUGGAUGUGGCAUGAUAUGAAGCAAUCUAGCAAUUGCUUAGUCACAAGCUAAUGAUGCAUAACACAAGCCGGAGGAGAGAUACUAAGAGACCAUCGCAACAAGCAUGAGAUGUAAUUGAGAGAAUUAGAGACAAAAUUUAACAAUCUCCACCUUGGAUCAAAGUCGACAAGUGCGCGUCGCCAAAGAAAGCCCCGAAGGGCGCUCAAGUACUAAAGAGACCAACCAAGUCCAGACAAUGCUGGAACUUGGAAUAUGGAAGUGGCUUGGUAAGCAUAUCUGCUGGAUUCUCAGACGUGUGAAUCUUUUCAACUAAGAUUUCACCCGCAACAACAAUAACUCGGAUAAAGUGGCGCUUUACAUCAAUGUGUUUGGUCCUGUCGUGAUAACGAUUAUUUUUGGUCAAGUGAAUAGCACUUUGGCUAUCACAAAACACAGUAAGAACACCCUGUGUAAGACCAAGUUCAUUGACCAAACCUCGAAGCCAAAUAGCCUCCUUGACACCCUCUGUUGCUGAAAUAUACUCCGCUUCAGUCGUAGAUAAUGCAGCAAUAGAUUGAAGUGUAACACCCCUCUAUGAGUGGUGCAUAUUAGAGUUACCCUUGAAAAUUACCAAACCUUCCCUUUUCCAACCAAAGGUAAAGAGACAACCAACAAAGCAGCUUUAUCUUCAUCAUCAAUUUUAAUAUCAAUAUUUUCCAGAUCCAAGAUAAUAGAGUUAAACUCAUCGAGAUGAGUUUGAAUAGGAGUACCUUCAACCAUUCGAAUGGUAUAUAAGCGUUCUUUG